AUUGAACGCUGGCGGAAUGCUUUACACAUGCAAGUCGAACGGCAGCACGGGGCAACCUGGUGGCGAGUGGCGAACGGGUGAGUAAUACAUCGGAACGUGCCCAAUCGUGGGGGAUAACGUAGCGAAAGUUACGCUAAUACCGCAUACGAUCUACGGAUGAAAGCGGGGGAUCGCAAGACCUCGCGCGAUUGGAGCGGCCGAUAUCAGAUUAGCUAGUUGGUGGGGUAAAAGCUCACCAAGGCGACGAUCUGUAGCUGGUCUGAGAGGACGACCAGCCACACUGGAACUGAGACACGGUCCAGACUCCUACGGGAGGCAGCAGUGGGGAAUUUUGGACAAUGGGCGCAAGCCUGAUCCAGCAAUGCCGCGUGCAGGAUGAAGGCCUUCGGUUGUAAACUGCUUUGUACGGUAACGAAACGGUAGAGCUCUAAUAAAGACUUGCUAAUGACGGUACCGUAACGGAAUAAAGACACCGGCGUAACUACCGUAGGCCAGCAGCC
This 500-nucleotide ribosomal RNA is filed under the name uncultured bacterium. Its description in RNAcentral is "bacterial SSU rRNA". It matches the Rfam family "Bacterial small subunit ribosomal RNA", at positions 30 to 516 of the family's 1533-position model. The record is from RNAcentral.